CUGCCUGUGAUUGAGACAACAGCAACCGUAAAAGGAAAAAAGGGGCGUAGCGUGAAUGCGAAAAAUUAGACGCACGACGUAUUGCUGUGAAACUCCGCCCCUUCCGCCUGUACGUUUUUCCUGCUGUCCUUAGUGUCAAUUAGAGGAGACAAGAUGGUUCCUCCUGUGCAAGUAUCUCCGCUCAUUAAGUUUACCAGGUAUUCUGCAUUGCUGGUUGGAGUAAUAUAUGGGAAGAAAAGAUAUGAUAAUUUGAAGCCUAUUGCUGAAGAGGAAAGGCGGAUAGAAGCUGAAGAGAAAAUUAAGCGUGAGGAAGCUGAACGAAUUGCUAAGGAGUUUGCAGCAGCAAAUGAAGACACCAUCUUGAAAUAAAUAUUCAAUCAAAAUCCAUCUCUUGCUUCUCAAGAACAUACAAAUGUUCAGUGGCUGGGAAAUAUACAUUGUAUGUUGAAGAUAUAAAAUAUGAAAAUUAAAAUCUAA
Molecule: long non-coding RNA, 477 nt
Organism: Pelobates fuscus (common spadefoot toad)
Lineage: Eukaryota; Metazoa; Chordata; Amphibia; Anura; Pelobatidae
Exons: 5
Source: RefSeq, a predicted model, not a curated record